This 254-nucleotide ribosomal RNA is filed under the name uncultured bacterium. RNAcentral's name for it is "partial 16S ribosomal RNA". It matches the Rfam family "Bacterial small subunit ribosomal RNA", at positions 524 to 776 of the family's 1533-position model. The record is from RNAcentral.
UACGAAGGGGGCUAGCGUUACUCGGAGUUACUGGGCGUAAAGGGUGUGUAGGCGGUUCUUUAAGUUUGGUGUGAAAUCUCCCGGCUCAACCGGGAGGGUGCGCCGAAUACUGAGGGACUUCGAGUGCGGGAGAGGAAAGUGGAAUUCCUGGUGUAGCGGUGAAAUGCGUAGAUAUCAGGAGGAACACCGGUGGUGUAGACGGCUUUCUGGACCGUAACUGACGCUGAGACACGAAAGCGUGGGUAGCAAACAGG